This 423-nucleotide ribosomal RNA is filed under the name uncultured euryarchaeote. RNAcentral's name for it is "bacterial SSU rRNA". It matches the Rfam family "Archaeal small subunit ribosomal RNA", at positions 322 to 747 of the family's 1478-position model. The record is from RNAcentral. Lineage: Archaea; Methanobacteriati; Methanobacteriota.
CCUAUGGGGGGCAGCAGGCGCGAAACCUCUGCAAUGCGGGAAACCGUGACAGGGGGAUCCCAAGUGCUCAUGCAUUGCAUGGGCUGUUCUUUGGUCUAAGUAACCAGAGGAGUAAGGGCUGGGCAAGACCGGUGCCAGCCGCCGCGGUAAUACCGGCAGCUCAAGUGGUAGCCGCGAUUAUUGGGCCUAAAACGUUCGUAGCCGGAUAAGUAAGUCUUUGGUUAAAUCCUGCGACUUAACCGUGGGAAAUCUAGAGAUACUGCUUGUCUUGAGACCGGGAGAGGUUGGAGGUACUCCCAGGGUAGGGGUGAAAUCCUGUAAUCCUGGGGGGACCACCUGUGGCGAAGGCGUCCAACUGGAACGGGUCUGACGGUGAGGGACGAAACCUAGGGGAGCGAGCCGGAUUAGAUACCCCCGUAGUCC